GCUGGGGGUGGUGACGCAGCACGCCUGUAAUCCAGCAACUCAGGAGGCUGAGGCAGGAGGAUCACAAGUUCAAGGCCAGCCUCAGCAACUUAGUAAGACCCUAAGCAACUUAGUAAGACCCUGUCUCAU
This 129-nucleotide small RNA is filed under the name Marmota monax (woodchuck). Lineage: Eukaryota; Metazoa; Chordata; Mammalia; Rodentia; Sciuridae. The record is from RNAcentral.